RNAcentral lists this long non-coding RNA (671 nucleotides) under Gossypium raimondii (Peruvian cotton). Its description in RNAcentral is "long non-coding RNA (GRAI_LNC000464)". The record is from RNAcentral. Lineage: Eukaryota; Viridiplantae; Streptophyta; Magnoliopsida; Malvales; Malvaceae.
ACUUAUAUUAAUAAUACAUUCUUAGCAUUCGCUUUCCCUCAUCUUUCCAAAAUGUUUCCAAGCUUCUUCUUUGAUAUUCGAACCCAGUCAUUGCUUUGCUGAAAAAUUUCCAUGUAUUUGAUUAUUCUUUCUUCCCUACAACGCGGUUUGCUAUGACUCUGUUAUGGUUUUCAAGUUUGAGCUUCUCCCAUUUCACCCAUCACCAAAUUUCGAAUCAGUUUUAAUUAUUUCAUGGCGCCGAGAAAGAUGAAGUUGCAGAUGCAGCAGCAAUUGGUGGCGCAGAAACCAGAAAUGAAGCUGAAGGGUUUGAAAGCAAAGAUGGGGCACAUCAAGCAAAAUGCCAAACGCUCCAGGCAUCACAUACAUUAUAAUAAGGGUAAACACAUAUUAUUAUUUAUUAUUAUCUAAUUUAGUUAAGAUUUAUUAGAGUAUGUAUUAGAUAUUUGUAGAUACUCUAGUAACUAAUUUCUAUUUGAUGAUGGGCUAAUUAGAAAUUAGGGGUAAUGUGCUAAAGUUAUAUAUAUUAAGGUUAUGAUCCUAAAUUACACCUAAGUUUCACAUCUUUAGAAUAGAGAGAGUUACUUUUUCAAGAUUACUUGUAUGACCUUGGCUUACAGUUUUAUGUUUAUAUUAGAUCUUGUUUUUACGAUUCUAACAAGUGACAACCGAGC